This is a non-coding RNA of Phascolarctos cinereus (koala), 380 nucleotides long. The record is from RefSeq and is a predicted model, not a curated record. NCBI's taxonomy places the organism in Eukaryota, Metazoa, Chordata, Mammalia, Diprotodontia, Phascolarctidae.
CCUCCUCCACUCCACUCCCCUUUCCUUCCCUCUCUAGAAUCCUUAACUUUCUCCAAUGCAUCUAAGGCCUUACCUCCUAAGCAGGUCUUCCCUGAAUCCCACAAGAGACAGUGACUUUUGCUUCUUGAAAUAACUUUGUAUUUAUAUUUAUUUAUCUAUGUCUAUGUAUUUCUCCUUCAACUCCCCGGUUAACAGGAGGCGUGGGCAGCUUGAGCCUAGACAGGAAUGAGCUGGUCUGAAUGGUCCAGGAGAUUAUUAACUGUGAGAAACAAGGUCUUCCUUUGAGUCAGAUGUCAGCCUCCAGGCCUUUCUUCCUCCUUCCUCAGAGAGUUCAGACCCAAAAUCACACUGCUAGUAAACACCCAAGGAAGGAUUUGAAC